UGUUCCCCACCCAGGUCAGGCUGUAGAGGCAGAAACAGCAGAAACCCUGCCCAUGGGCCCACCCUCGCCCUACAGGGGAUCAGGGGUGAAUGGAUCAUGGUUUGGAACCUGAUAAUUAAGACCCUGGAGCCCAACCUAUUGGCCUUCAGGCUUAAUAUCAGACUGCUGCACUUGGUGGACAGACAGGUGCAGCCUGGGGGCCCGCACCUUGGCCAGCAGGAGCAGCGUGCGGCUGGUGCGGGCGUCCGCGUGCCGCUCCCGCAGGUGAAAGAGCUUGGGUGACAUGA
Long non-coding RNA from Urocitellus parryii (Arctic ground squirrel), 287 nucleotides. RefSeq lists it as uncharacterized. The record is from RefSeq and is a predicted model, not a curated record. NCBI's taxonomy places the organism in Eukaryota, Metazoa, Chordata, Mammalia, Rodentia, Sciuridae.